AAGACGAAGAAGAAGAAGAAGAAAGGCAGGGUGUGAAACAAGAACGUCGUGGUCGCUCUUAAAUCUUCUUCUCCGUCUGAUUUUCUUUCGACAUCGAGUUUGCUGCUACUUAAGUGAUGGCUGGGCAGGUUGAAAUUUAUGACAUUGCUUGGCAUAUCAACUCCAAGCUAUCUAAGACAAGGUGAGUCCGAAUAAAAUUUGGGAAAACUCAACCUCAAUCUUCCUCUUCCUCGUUGCCAACGGAUCACACAAUAAAACUCAGAUGUUGUGACGGGUAGCGCCAUUUGUAUUCCAUCGUGCAAUUGACAAACGAAGCAGUGCCAUUUGCAUUCCAAUCAUUUAGUUUGAUACUUUUAAUCUGUUUUCUGUGAUCCUCUCCCAUUGUUUACGCGUUUCUAUUUUUUGAUAAUUUGGGUACGCUGAUAUGAAUGUGAUGGAUUGACAAUUAGGUA
This is a long non-coding RNA of Prunus dulcis (almond), 452 nucleotides long. RefSeq lists it as uncharacterized. The transcript is spliced from 2 exons. The record is from RefSeq and is a predicted model, not a curated record. Lineage: Eukaryota; Viridiplantae; Streptophyta; Magnoliopsida; Rosales; Rosaceae.